This 1077-nucleotide ribosomal RNA is filed under the name Triticum aestivum (bread wheat). RNAcentral's name for it is "partial small subunit ribosomal RNA". The record is from RNAcentral. Lineage: Eukaryota; Viridiplantae; Streptophyta; Magnoliopsida; Poales; Poaceae.
AUGUUUGGCGGGGGUGCUCAACUUGAAGGGCUCCGUUACUCUGAUGCGCAGGGACGUGCUCGCCUUGAACGACUUGGACGCCACCGUCGGCGACAGCGGCCUCGCCCAGUUCCUCGGCGGGGGAGUCACCUGCCAGUUCAUCAGCUCCACCCUCGUCGACCACAGGGAGCUGCUCAUCAACGAGGGCGGCGUCAUCGAGCGUACCAUCUUCCCGGGCAAGCACGCGAUGCCCAUGUCUUCCGCCGCCUACAACAACUGGAACUUCACCGAACAAGCUCUUCCAAACGAUCUAAUCAAGAGGGGCAUGGCAGUGGAGGACCCAUUGAGCCCGUACAAAGUGCGGUUGCUCAUCGAGGACUACCCGUACGCGGCGGACGGGCUGGCCGUCUGGCACGCAAUCGAGCAGUGGGUGGCAGAUUAUCUGGCCAUAUACUACCCCGGCGAGGCGACGGCGUGCUCCAGGGGGACAUGGAGCUACAUGCAUGGUGGAAGGAGGUGCGAGAGGUCGGUCACGGCGACCUCAAGGACGCGGCGUGGUGGCCCACCAUGCAGACGGUGGCGGAGCUGGUCAAGGCCUGCACCACCAUUACCUGGAUCGGGUCGGCGCUGCACGCGGCCGUCAACUUCGGGCAGUACCCUUACUCCGGUUACCACCCCAACAAGCCAUCGGCGAGUAGGUGCCCUAUGCCGGAGCCAGGAUCCAAGGAGUACGCGGAGCUGGAGCGUGACCCGGAGAAGGUAUUCCUUCGCACGAUCACCAGCCCGCUUCACGCCCUCAUCGGCAUCUCGCUGAUAGAGGUACUGUCCAAGCAUACCUCCGACGAGCUCUACCUGGGGCAGCACGAUACGCCGGAGUGGACGUCCGACGCCAGGGCGCUGGAGGCGUUCAAGCGGUUCGGCGCGAGGUUGGAGGACAUCGAGAAACAGGUGGUGGCCAUGAACGCGAACCCACAGCUGAAGAACCGCACGGGACCGGCCAAGUUUCCGUACAUGCUACUCUACCCCAAUACCUCCGACCACAAGGGUGAGGCCAAAGGGCUCACUGCCAGGGGCAUCCCCAAUAGCAUCUCCAUCUGA